AUACGUAGGGAGCGAGCGUUGUCCGGAAUUACUGGGUGUAAAGGGAGCGUAGGCGGGAGUGCAAGUCAGAUGUGAAAUACAUGGGCUCAACCCAUGGGCUGCAUUUGAAACUGCAUUUCUUGAGUGAAGUAGAGGUAAGCGGAAUUCCUGGUGUAGCGGUGAAAUGCGUAGAUAUCAGGAGGAACACCGGUGGCGAAGGCGGCUUACUGGGCUUUUACUGACGCUGAGGCUCGAAAGCGUGGGGAGCAAACAGGAUUAGAUACCCUGGUAGUCCACGCUGUAAACGGUGAUUACUAGGUGUGGGGGGACUGACCCCUUCCGUGCCGCAGUUAACACAAUAAGUAAUCCACCUGGGGAGUACGGCCGCAAGGUUGAAACUCAAAUGAAUUGACGGGG
This 396-nucleotide ribosomal RNA is filed under the name uncultured bacterium. RNAcentral's name for it is "partial 16S ribosomal RNA". It matches the Rfam family "Bacterial small subunit ribosomal RNA", at positions 523 to 918 of the family's 1533-position model. The record is from RNAcentral.